This 218-nucleotide ribozyme is filed under the name Anopheles stephensi (Asian malaria mosquito). RNAcentral describes it as "drz-agam-2-2 ribozyme". It matches the Rfam family "drz-agam-2-2 ribozyme", at positions 1 to 163 of the family's 191-position model. The record is from Rfam by way of RNAcentral. Lineage: Eukaryota; Metazoa; Arthropoda; Insecta; Diptera; Culicidae.
CAUAUAGUUAGCUCGGUUAAUGGGGUAGGAUCCGAGACUCCUUUCGGGGUUACACAGGCUCUCCUACCCAACUCCUAUUCCGUCACGUCCUCGUCGUACAGAGUAGUAACUUUCCCCAACCAAAUAUCCAAGCUUGGGUACACGGGUCUGUCCCAGACGUUAAACCGAACUGCCACGAGGCCCUUCAGAGGUACCUGGGGGCUUGAACUGUGACUGGG